RNAcentral lists this small nuclear RNA (131 nucleotides) under Lynx canadensis (Canada lynx). RNAcentral describes it as "U4 spliceosomal RNA (ENSLCNG00005012791.1)". It matches the Rfam family "U4 spliceosomal RNA". From Rfam's summary of the family: U4 small nuclear RNA (U4 snRNA) is a component of the major U2-dependent spliceosome. The structure of U4 snRNA from yeast and human has been reported. U4 snRNA presents a k-turn RNA motif in the 5p-SL related to recognition of Snu13 protein. Lineage: Eukaryota; Metazoa; Chordata; Mammalia; Carnivora; Felidae. The record is from Rfam by way of RNAcentral.
AGCUUUGCGCAGUGGCAGUAUCGUAGCCAAUGAGGUUUAUCCGAGGCGCGAUUAUUGCUAAUAGAAAGGUAAAUACAUAUGAAGGUAAAAUUAUCUUAAAAGUCAAGGUAAAGUUUGGGGCGCCUGGUGGC